Gorilla gorilla gorilla (western lowland gorilla) is the source of this 191-nucleotide small nuclear RNA. Its record names the gene U2. It matches the Rfam family "U2 spliceosomal RNA". Rfam says of the family: U2 is a small nuclear RNA (snRNA) component of the spliceosome (involved in pre-mRNA splicing). Complementary binding between U2 snRNA (in an area lying towards the 5' end but 3' to hairpin I) and the branchpoint sequence (BPS) of the intron results the bulging out of an unpaired adenosine, on the BPS, which initiates a nucleophilic attack at the intronic 5' splice site, thus starting the first of two transesterification reactions that mediate splicing. Lineage: Eukaryota; Metazoa; Chordata; Mammalia; Primates; Hominidae. The record is from Ensembl.
GUUGCUUCAUGGCCUUUUGGCUAAGUUCAAGUGUAGUAUCUGUCCUUAUCAGUUUAAUAUCUGAUACAUCCUCUAUCUGAGGACAAUACAUUAAACGGAUUUUUGGAGCAGGGAGAUGGAAUAAGGACUAGUUUCCUCCACUCCAUGCAUCAACCUGGUAUUGCAGUACCUCCAGAAAUGGUGCACCCCUC